RNAcentral lists this ribosomal RNA (313 nucleotides) under uncultured Coxiella sp. Its description in RNAcentral is "bacterial SSU rRNA". It matches the Rfam family "Bacterial small subunit ribosomal RNA", at positions 31 to 331 of the family's 1533-position model. The record is from RNAcentral. Lineage: Bacteria; Pseudomonadati; Pseudomonadota; Gammaproteobacteria; Legionellales; Coxiellaceae.
GAACGCUGGCGGCAUGCCUUACACAUGCAAGUCGAACGGCAGCGGGGGGAGCUUGCUCCCUGACGGCGAGUGGCGGACGGGUGAGUAACACGUAGGAAUCUACCUUAAUUAUAAUAGUUAGUGGGGGAUAACCCGGGGAAACUCGGGCUAAUACCGCAUAAUCUCUUCAAAGCAAAGCGGGGGAUCUUCGGACCUCGUGCUAUGAGAUGAGCCUGCGUCGGAUUAGCUAGUUGGUAGGGUAAUGGCCUACCAAGGCGACGAUCCGUAGCUGGUCUGAGAGGACAAUCAGCCACACUGGGACUGAGACACGGCC